RNAcentral lists this transfer RNA (71 nucleotides) under Acanthamoeba castellanii str. Neff. It matches the Rfam family "tRNA". From Rfam's summary of the family: Transfer RNA (tRNA) molecules are approximately 80 nucleotides in length. Their secondary structure includes four short double-helical elements and three loops (D, anti-codon, and T loops). Further hydrogen bonds mediate the characteristic L-shaped molecular structure. tRNAs have two regions of fundamental functional importance: the anti-codon, which is responsible for specific mRNA codon recognition, and the 3' end, to which the tRNAs corresponding amino acid is attached (by aminoacyl-tRNA synthetases). tRNAs cope with the degeneracy of the genetic code in two manners: having more than one tRNA (with a specific anti-codon) for a particular amino acid; and 'wobble' base-pairing, i.e. permitting non-standard base-pairing at the 3rd anti-codon position. The record is from Rfam by way of RNAcentral. Lineage: Eukaryota; Discosea; Longamoebia; Acanthamoebidae.
GGGGCGCUGGUGUAGUGGGAGCAUGUAGGCCUUCUAAGCCUGAGGUGCGGGUUCGAUCCCUGCGCGCCCCA